Long non-coding RNA from Benincasa hispida (wax gourd), 759 nucleotides. RefSeq lists it as uncharacterized. The record is from RefSeq and is a predicted model, not a curated record. NCBI's taxonomy places the organism in Eukaryota, Viridiplantae, Streptophyta, Magnoliopsida, Cucurbitales, Cucurbitaceae.
ACUACCUUUCUUCUAUCUCUCUCUGUCUUUAAUAUUUUUGAGAAAAAUAGAUGAACAAGAUGAAGAGAUUCAAGCAUGCAAUUCAGAAAAUGUAAAGAGGAGGAGAAGAUGAACACAUUGAUUAUAGUGGUUCGAUCUAAGGAGAUCUACGUCCACUCUCAAGGUUUGAAUCUAUCUUUUAUUCAAGUUUUCUUUGAGUUUUCACUCACUCAUUUCUUUUUUCUUCUCUCGGUAUUUCAUACAAGAGUUCUUUUUUCUAACAAUAAAACUGAGAAAUUAGUUUAUUUGUUACUAAUAGAAAUGUUUGUUUCUUGUGAGGUGAACAAAGAGAUGAAACUCAGUUGCAUGAGCUUCCGACUUGAGCUGGUUUGUCUACUGCUCUGAGUAGACUUGGGCAGUACUCCAACUUGUCUGUAAGUCCGUGGCAAUCGAUAAAGCAACUAUUACUGAAGAUAUCAGGAAAAACAGAGGCAUUUGGGGCAAGUUCGGAGCAGAAAAUGCACAAAAAUGAGUAUUCUACUUUAUAGUGUCACGAUGCUACAAUCACAGCGUUGCAGAUGCUGCAAGGCGAGGCGUAAUGUGAGGGAGUCGUAGCGUCGUGACGUUGCCCCUCAGCGUUUUAACUCUACGAGGGUGUGAGGAACCUGGUUGUGGCGCACGUACAGCUGUUGAAGGAGGUUUUUUUUUAACCUAAUUUUCUUAUGUAAUUAAUUAAAUUGAUAUAGUAUUUAUAUUAAUUUAAUUAAUUAAUUUUGCAUU